Molecule: ribosomal RNA, 496 nt
Filed under: uncultured bacterium
Lineage: Bacteria
Description: partial 16S ribosomal RNA
Rfam family: Bacterial small subunit ribosomal RNA
Source: RNAcentral
AUGCACGCUGGCGGCGUGCCUAAUACAUGCAAGUCGAGCGAACGGACGAGAAGCUUGCUUCUCUGAUGUUAGCGGCGGACGGGUGAGUAACACGUGGAUAACCUACCUAUAAGACUGGGAUAACUUCGGGAAACCGGAGCUAAUACCGGAUGAUAUUUUGAACCGCAUGGUUCAAAAGUGAAAGACGGUCUUGCUGUCACUUAUAGAUGGAUCCGCGCUGCAUUAGCUAGUUGGUAAGGUAACGGCUUACCAAGGCAACGAUGCAUAGCCGACCUGAGAGGGUGAUCGGCCACACUGGAACUGAGACACGGUCCAGACUCCUACGGGAGGCAGCAGUAGGGAAUCUUCCGCAAUGGGCGAAAGCCUGACGGAGCAACGCCGCGUGAGUGAUGAAGGUCUUCGGAUCGUAAAACUCUGUUAUUAGGGAAGAACAUAUGUGUAAGUAACUGUGCACAUCUUGACGGUACCUAAUCAGAAAGCCACGACUAACUACGUG